Small nuclear RNA from Pongo abelii (Sumatran orangutan), 107 nucleotides. The record is from Ensembl. NCBI's taxonomy places the organism in Eukaryota, Metazoa, Chordata, Mammalia, Primates, Hominidae.
GUGCUCACUUUGGCAGCACAUAUACUAAAAUAGGAACAAUACAGAGAAGAUUAUCAUGGCCUCUGCACAAAGAUGACACACAAAUUUGUGAAGUAUUUCAUAUUUUU